Cyanistes caeruleus (blue tit) is the source of this 543-nucleotide non-coding RNA. NCBI's taxonomy places the organism in Eukaryota, Metazoa, Chordata, Aves, Passeriformes, Paridae. The record is from RefSeq and is a predicted model, not a curated record.
AGCAGCUUCAACUUCCUUAGCUCCCAAAGCUAUCUUAAAGAAGGUACCUGCGUACAAUGAAAUUUUAAUCAGCAUGAAGAACAUCCAUAGGAAAAAUGGAAGGGAAAAUGAAGACCUCAAGUAAUACCAUGAGAUCUGACUCCUUGCAGUGCUUAUGAGUUAAGGAAAGAAGUUGUGCAAAGACCUGUUUAACUUAGGCUGAUGAGGAAUUGUGGUUGCCAGUGAUCCCUACAUUUGUGAUAUUGGUUUCAUGCCAAUUUUCAGUGUGUAGAGUUUCAGAAGCAAAGGGUUUUCAGAAGCCCAUGGAGAUUAAACCCAUCAUUCCACUACCCUACUCAUUAGAUUGCUGCUGUUCUGAGAUGCUGCAUACUCAAAUUACAACACUUAAUGCACAGCAAACAAUAGAACGAGGAAACCAUGCAACAUUGGACUAAACUUAAAUGAAUGGAAUAGCAACCCCACUUUUAAUGUGAUCUGCAAUAUAAGUUCCUUUUACUUUGGAAAAAUAUAUAUAAACACUACAAACCUUUAAAGGAAUUCUGU